GAUGAACGCUAGCGGCAGGCUUAACACAUGCAAGUCGAACGGUAACAUAGGUUGCUUGCAAUCUGAUGACGAGUGGCGCACGGGUGCGUAACGCGUAUACAAUCUACCUUUUACAGGGGAAUAGCCUUUAGAAAUGAAGAAUAAUACCCCAUAGUAUUAUAUAGUUGCAUAACAAUAUAAUUAAAGAUUUAUCGGUAAAAGAUGAGUAUGCGUUCUAUUAGCUAGUAAGUAAGGUAACGGCUUACUUAGGCGACGAUAGAUAGGGGCCCUGAGAGGGGGAUCCCCCACACUGGUACUGAGACACGGACCAGACUCCUACGGGAGGCAGCAGUGAGGAAUAUUGGACAAUGGGCGAGAGCCUGAUCCAGCCAUGCCGCGUGCAGGAAGACUGCCCUAUGGGUUGUAAACUGCUUUUAUAUAGGAAGAAACACUGGUAUGUAUACCAGCUUGACGGUACUAUAAGAAUAAGGAUCGGCUAACUCCG
RNAcentral lists this ribosomal RNA (484 nucleotides) under uncultured Flavobacteriaceae bacterium. RNAcentral describes it as "bacterial SSU rRNA". It matches the Rfam family "Bacterial small subunit ribosomal RNA", at positions 28 to 505 of the family's 1533-position model. Lineage: Bacteria; Pseudomonadati; Bacteroidota; Flavobacteriia; Flavobacteriales; Flavobacteriaceae. The record is from RNAcentral.